Molecule: ribosomal RNA, 885 nt
Filed under: Aspergillus parasiticus
Lineage: Eukaryota; Fungi; Ascomycota; Eurotiomycetes; Eurotiales; Aspergillaceae
Description: LSU rRNA
Rfam family: Eukaryotic large subunit ribosomal RNA
Source: RNAcentral
CGGNNGAAAAGAAACCAACCGGGAUUGCCUCAGUAACGGCGAGUGAAGCGGCAAGAGCUCAAAUUUGAAAGCUGGCUCCUUCGGGGUCCGCAUUGUAAUUUGCAGAGGAUGCUUCGGGUGCGGCCCCUGUCUAAGUGCCCUGGAACGGGCCGUCAGAGAGGGUGAGAAUCCCGUCUGGGAUGGGGUGUCCGCGCCCGUGUGAAGCUCCUUCGACGAGUCGAGUUGUUUGGGAAUGCAGCUCUAAAUGGGUGGUAAAUUUCAUCUAAAGCUAAAUACUGGCCGGAGACCGAUAGCGCACAAGUAGAGUGAUCGAAAGAUGAAAAGCACUUUGAAAAGAGAGUUAAAAAGCACGUGAAAUUGUUGAAAGGGAAGCGCUUGCGACCAGACUCGCCUCCAGGGUUCAGCCGGCAUUCGUGCCGGUGUACUUCCCUGGGGGCGGGCCAGCGUCGGUUUGGGCGGCCGGUCAAAGGCUCCCGGAAUGUAGUGCCCUCCGGGGCACCUUAUAGCCGGGAGUGCAAUGCGGCCAGCCUGGACCGAGGAACGCGCUUCGGCACGGACGCUGGCAUAAUGGUCGUAAACGACCCGUCUUGAAACACGGACCAAGGAGUCUAACAUCUACGCGAGUGUUCGGGUGUCAAACCCGUACGCGCAGUGAAAGCGAACGGAGGUGGGAGCCCCCUCGUGGGGCGCACCAUCGACCGAUCCUGAAGUCUUCGGAUGGAUUUGAGUAAGAGCGUAAAUGUGGGGACCCGAAAGAUGGUGAACUAUGCCUGAAUAGGGCGAAGCCAGAGGAAACUCUGGUGGAGGCUCGCAGCGGUUCUGACGUGCAAAUCGAUCGUCAAAUUUGGGUAUAGGGGCGAAAGACUAAUCGAACCAUCUAGUAGC